AUGAAGCUGAGGUGCCCCAACCCCAAGAGGCUCUUCAGGAGGAGCUCCUCCAAGAUCAGCAGGUCUAGUAGCAGCUGCAGCAGCAGGAGCAGCAGCGACAACGGCAGCGAUGCCUCCGGUGGCAUCCGUGGUGGCGGCGGCAGCGGAGAGAUCGAGUGGGAGGUGCGGCCGGGGGGCAUGCUGGUGCAGAGGAGGGACGGGAGGGGGGACGUCGAGAUCAUCACCGUCAGGGUGGCCACCGGCUACUCCUGGCACGAGGUCUCCAUUGGAGCCACCUGCACCUUUGGUGAGCUGAAGGUGGUAGUGUCCAUGGUAACGGGGCUGGAGCCGAGGGAGCAGAGGCUGCUCUUCAGGGGCAAGGAGAAGGAGCACAGCGACCACCUCCACAUGGUUGGGGUGAGGGACAAGGAUAAGGUGCUGCUCCUCGAGGACCCUGCCCUCAAGGACAUGAAGCUCCGUGCCGCGCUUGCGGGCCGGGCUGUGCAGAGCCCGUAUCAUACUUUUAUCAAGGUGUAG
RNAcentral lists this ribosomal RNA (516 nucleotides) under Triticum aestivum (bread wheat). RNAcentral describes it as "partial small subunit ribosomal RNA". The record is from RNAcentral. Lineage: Eukaryota; Viridiplantae; Streptophyta; Magnoliopsida; Poales; Poaceae.